AUUUUGUAAGGUUAAUUAUUGUAAAACUCUUUUAUAAUUGAUUAUUAUGAAGUAAAUUAUGAAUAAGCCCUGGCUAACAUUCGUGCCAGCAGUCGCGGUAAUACGGAGGGGGCAAGUGUUACUCAGCAUUAUUGGGCGUAAAGGUACGUAGGUGGUUUAUUAUUUUAAAAUAGAAAUGUUGAAAACUCAAUUUUAAUACUUAUUUUAAAAAUUUAAACUAGAGCACAGAACAGGUUUAUGGUAUUUUUAGUGUAUAGGUGAUAUUUGUUGAUAUUAAGAAGACCCGCAAAGGCGAAGGCUAUAUACUAGUUCUAUGCUGACACUCAGGUACGAAAGCAUAGGGAGCGAAAAGGAUUAGAUACCCAAUUAGUCUAUGCCGUCAACGAUGAACAUUAAUUUUUGUUUUUUAUUAAGCAGUUAUUAAAGCUAACGCGUUAAAUGUUCCGCCUGGAGAGUACGAUCGC
This 464-nucleotide ribosomal RNA is filed under the name uncultured bacterium. RNAcentral describes it as "bacterial SSU rRNA". It matches the Rfam family "Bacterial small subunit ribosomal RNA", at positions 405 to 889 of the family's 1533-position model. The record is from RNAcentral.